This 163-nucleotide ribosomal RNA is filed under the name uncultured bacterium. Its description in RNAcentral is "partial 16S ribosomal RNA". It matches the Rfam family "Bacterial small subunit ribosomal RNA", at positions 346 to 509 of the family's 1533-position model. The record is from RNAcentral.
AGGCAGCAGUGGGGAAUAUUGCACAAUGGGCGCAAGCCUGAUGCAGCGACGCCGCGUGCGGGAUGAAGGCCUUCGGGUUGUAAACCGCUUUUGUUCAAGGGCAAGGCAGGCUUUCGGGCCUGUUGAGUGGAUUGUUCGAAUAAGCACCGGCUAACUACGUGCC